Molecule: long non-coding RNA, 570 nt
Filed under: Homo sapiens (human)
Lineage: Eukaryota; Metazoa; Chordata; Mammalia; Primates; Hominidae
Description: non-protein coding lnc-FGF16-1:1
Source: RNAcentral
AUGGUCACCUCAGUGUUGUGCUGCCUGCAGUGCUGCAGAGACAGUGGGACCAGCCACAUCCUUCUGAAGGUUAUGCCAGUCAUGCAGCAGGACAUAUGACACAUGGGAACAGAUGUUGUCAUUGUAAAAAAUGACAGAAGAAUAUAUGGAACAUGAGAUUGUUUAGCCAGUGCACUUUUACAUCAAAACAAAAGCUACUAUGACUUCAAGAUCCACUUCACAGGAAUCUGGGACACUGGUGUUGCUUCACAGAAAGUAAAUUUGAAUCAGAGACCUCUUGGCCAAGACGUACACAGUCUGGUGAUGGGAAAUAAGGAGCCCUGUACCACAAUAAUAAAGAGAAAAAUAGGCUGCUAGCAAACAGCCUUCCACAGAAGGGACAUGCGGGGGUAUUACAUAUGACCAUGUAGAAUAUACACUUGAAUGGAAAAAUAUGCAUUGUCUAACAUCAAGUAUCAAGGGACACCGGAUCCAGUUAGUUAUGUUGAUAAGAAUGUAACUGGAUUUUCAGUUCAGUGAAUUUUAUCAUACUCUUCCACCAGGUUUUGAAAAAAAUAUAUUAUUUGAACA